Molecule: ribosomal RNA, 260 nt
Filed under: uncultured bacterium
Lineage: Bacteria
Description: partial 16S ribosomal RNA
Rfam family: Bacterial small subunit ribosomal RNA
Source: RNAcentral
UAGCAGAGGGUGCGAGCGUUGUCCGGAAUCACUGGGCGUAAAGGGCGCGUUAGGCGGCCCGGUAAGGUUGCGGUGAAAAGCCCGGGGGCUCAACCCCGGGUCGGCCGUGGCAACUGCUGGGACUGGAGCACAGUAGGAGGCGGGUGGAAUUCCGGGUGUAGCGGAUGGAAUGCGUAGAGAUCCGGAAGAACACCGGUGGCGAAGGCGGCCCGCUGGGCUGUUGCUGACGCUGAGGCGCGACAGCGUGGGGAGCAAACAGG